GCAUCCUUUUUUCCUUUCGAACCACGGGGGUCUUAGGGGAGGCAGCAGUAGUGAAUUUUGGACAAUGGCCGAAAGCCUGAUGCAGCCAUGCCGUGUUAGUGAUGAAAGCAUAGUCUUUAAAGACGCCUCAGCACUCAUGCUAAGACCUAG
RNAcentral lists this ribosomal RNA (150 nucleotides) under uncultured bacterium. Its description in RNAcentral is "partial 16S ribosomal RNA". The record is from RNAcentral.